CUUUUUUGCCGAUUAUCAGGUGCAAGGAAAGUGGAGUGAAAAGCUCCCGCGGACCCGCCGCUGUAACGGGGGACUGACCUUUCAACGCAGUACCCACUGCCGGAUGUUCCACAGAGACAAAUCCGACGGGAAGGGAGGAAGGUCCGGAACGAUCCCGAAGCCAGAAAGCCUGCCUGAUAAUCCUAACCGGC
This 191-nucleotide non-coding RNA is filed under the name Malonomonas rubra. RNAcentral also lists the same sequence under 1 other name. Lineage: Bacteria; Pseudomonadati; Thermodesulfobacteriota; Desulfuromonadia; Desulfuromonadales; Geopsychrobacteraceae. The record is from RNAcentral.